AUUGAACGCUGGCGGCAGGCCUAACACAUGCAAGUCGAACGGUAGCACAGAGAGCUUGCUCUUGGGUGACGAGUGGCGGACGGGUGAGUAAUGUCUGGGAAACUGCCCGAUGGAGGGGGAUAACUACUGGAAACGGUAGCUAAUACCGCAUAACGUCUUCGGACCAAAGUGGGGGACCUUCGGGCCUCACACCAUCGGAUGUGCCCAGAUGGGAUUAGCUAGUAGGUGGGGUAAUGGCUCACCUAGGCGACGAUCCCUAGCUGGUCUGAGAGGAUGACCAGCAACACUGGAACUGCGACACGGUCCAGACUCCUACGGGAGGCAGCAGUGGGGAAUAUUGCACAAUGGGCGCAAGCCUGAUGCAGCCAUGCCGCGUGUAUGAAGAAGGCCUUCGGGUUGUAAAGUACUUUCAGCGGGGAGGAAGGCGAUGGAGUUAAUAGCUUCAUCGAUUGACGUUACCCGCAGAAGAAGCACCGGCUAACUCCGUGCCAGCAGCCGCCGUAA
RNAcentral lists this ribosomal RNA (504 nucleotides) under uncultured bacterium. RNAcentral describes it as "partial 16S ribosomal RNA". It matches the Rfam family "Bacterial small subunit ribosomal RNA", at positions 30 to 523 of the family's 1533-position model. The record is from RNAcentral.